Molecule: ribosomal RNA, 1529 nt
Filed under: Escherichia coli
Lineage: Bacteria; Pseudomonadati; Pseudomonadota; Gammaproteobacteria; Enterobacterales; Enterobacteriaceae
Description: partial 23S ribosomal RNA
Rfam family: Bacterial large subunit ribosomal RNA
Source: RNAcentral
AGACCCGAAACCCGGUGAUCUAGCCAUGGGCAGGUUGAAGGUUGGGUAACACUAACUGGAGGACCGAACCGACUAAUGUUGAAAAAUUAGCGGAUGACUUGUGGCUGGGGGUGAAAGGCCAAUCAAACCGGGAGAUAGCUGGUUCUCCCCGAAAGCUAUUUAGGUAGCGCCUCGUGAAUUCAUCUCCGGGGGUAGAGCACUGUUUCGGCAAGGGGGUCAUCCCGACUUACCAACCCGAUGCAAACUGCGAAUACCGGAGAAUGUUAUCACGGGAGACACACGGCGGGUGCUAACGUCCGUCGUGAAGAGGGAAACAACCCAGACCGCCAGCUAAGGUCCCAAAGUCAUGGUUAAGUGGGAAACGAUGUGGGAAGGCCCAGACAGCCAGGAUGUUGGCUUAGAAGCAGCCAUCAUUUAAAGAAAGCGUAAUAGCUCACUGGUCGAGUCGGCCUGCGCGGAAGAUGUAACGGGGCUAAACCAUGCACCGAAGCUGCGGCAGCGACACUGUGUGUUGUUGGGUAGGGGAGCGUUCUGUAAGCCUGUGAAGGUGUGCUGUGAGGCAUGCUGGAGGUAUCAGAAGUGCGAAUGCUGACAUAAGUAACGAUAAAGCGGGUGAAAAGCCCGCUCGCCGGAAGACCAAGGGUUCCUGUCCAACGUUAAUCGGGGCAGGGUGAGUCGACCCCUAAGGCGAGGCCGAAAGGCGUAGUCGAUGGGAAACAGGUUAAUAUUCCUGUACUUGGUGUUACUGCGAAGGGGGGACGGAGAAGGCUAUGUUGGCCGGGCGACGGUUGUCCCGGUUUAAGCGUGUAGGCUGGUUUUCCAGGCAAAUCCGGAAAAUCAAGGCUGAGGCGUGAUGACGAGGCACUACGGUGCUGAAGCAACAAAUGCCCUGCUUCCAGGAAAAGCCUCUAAGCAUCAGGUAACAUCAAAUCGUACCCCAAACCGACACAGGUGGUCAGGUAGAGAAUACCAAGGCGCUUGAGAGAACUCGGGUGAAGGAACUAGGCAAAAUGGUGCCGUAACUUCGGGAGAAGGCACGCUGAUAUGUAGGUGAAGUCCCUCGCGGAUGGAGCUGAAAUCAGUCGAAGAUACCAGCUGGCUGCAACUGUUUAUUAAAAACACAGCACUGUGCAAACACGAAAGUGGACGUAUACGGUGUGACGCCUGCCCGGUGCCGGAAGGUUAAUUGAUGGGGUCAGCGCAAGCGAAGCUCUUGAUCGAAGCCCCGGUAAACGGCGGCCGUAACUAUAACGGUCCUAAGGUAGCGAAAUUCCUUGUCGGGUAAGUUCCGACCUGCACGAAUGGCGUAAUGAUGGCCAGGCUGUCUCCACCCGAGACUCAGUGAAAUUGAACUCGCUGUGAAGAUGCAGUGUACCCGCGGCAAGACGGAAAGACCCCGUGAACCUUUACUAUAGCUUGACACUGAACAUUGAGCCUUGAUGUGUAGGAUAGGUGGGAGGCUUUGAAGUGUGGACGCCAGUCUGCAUGGAGCCGACCUUGAAAUACCACCCUUUAAUGUUUGAUGUUCU